UUGCCUCCGCUGAGCAAAAUUAAAACCACAUUACACCGAACGUUACCGGCGACGUUGAGCAGAGGAACUGUGCGAGCCCUGCACUUGCUCACGUUGCCUCAGCAGGCAGAGAGGAGGGGAGGUGACAGAGCAGUUCCCCAACGGGCAUGCGAGCUCCGGCGGUCCCGGGACAGGCAGGGCACCCCAUCCCAGCACGGCAGUGGGGAAGACGCCAGGAGCCUCACCCAAGCCCGGCCCCAUCGGGGUGCGGUAUUGCUGCUCUUAGGGACGGGCUGCGAGCAAAGGGAGCGCUGGGUGAGGAGGAGUUACCCGCUGCCCCUAACGACAUGGGACAAAGAAACCUUGGGGAUCCUCGUUAAAACGUAAGGUGUGAUUAGCGUUACUGCGCUAUCAGAAAUAGCAAUUCCUACAUGGAAAAGGAUGGAAGUGUUGCACAGCAGCACUGCAAAAACAGGACCGGCUGAACCAUCAGCUUAGAUCUGCUUGGGCCAGCCAUGCUCAGUUAGUUACACAUCAGGACUGCCAGCAUACAAUGAUGUCACCGCUACAGAAACUUAAGUGAGACCCGACAGCAGUUCCGCCUUGAAAGUCACAGACCACAUCUCUGGGCAAGUACUUGUUUUGUUAAAUUAUUAUUAAUAUUUUUUAUUGUAGCACUGUAACAGGGACCUGCUUCAAUUUCAAGAGUGUGUAACAGAAGUCCAAAUAACAGAAAAAGUUUCAGAGCAGAAGCGUGGUCUGCAAGGUAUUAAUAUCCCAUAAGAGGAAAGCUGGAAGGUAAACUAAAAAUGGAAGAAUGAAGUUACCCAUAGAUGAGAGCUGGGAAUUAAGCUGACAAAGGCCUGUACUGUCCACCUUUUUUUUUAAAGAUCAAUGCAAACCUUUAUUUUCUAUAAAUAAUUUAAUAAAUACUUUUGUUUUACAAUGAUACAAUAAAUGACAAAUUCAUAGCAAAUGAGUCACAAAGAAUUUAGGAUCAGUAUACUUUAAUAAGGUAUCAGUGUCAAAAUACAUUUCCUUAUCAAAUUAAAGUUCCCAUAUAAUAUUGUCAAUAAGAAUUCAGCAAUAUAGAUUAUGAAAUAAUUACGAUAAAAAGUAUGAUUAAUAUUAAGACAGGGAAUAUUUUUCCAGAGUGUUUUAGUAAACUGUUAGGCUAUAUAACAUUUUUAAUGCUGAAACUACACAAAUAAGAAACAGAAUAAAAGCAGUAUUCAAGUGUCUUUAGUCUUUGAUGCCUUUAAGUCCUUGCCACUGAAAAAUGUCAAAUCUGGCUUGCCAAUUGUCAUUCAUUACACAUUGACUCUUAUGCUAUCCUUUUCCCAUAUAGGAAUAAAUGCACUUCAUGAGUAGCUUAUUUUUGGUAGAAAGAAAAAAAAAAAAAGAGCACAAAACAAAACAACUCUUGAAAGAUCUGCCUGCAGUAAGGACUAUUGUAAGGUUUUAUUUUAAACAUUAUAUACCACUACUAACGUAAGAUCUUUCAUUUUCAAAAGAGUGCACAGUAUCUAUGGUUAAGACUCACUUAACACAGCAAUCUCUGAAGUGCUCAAUGAACCCAAGGCUCCCUCUCUGCAAGUGUCAGUGCAUGUGGAAAGCAAAUUCAUAAAACAGGCUUCAGUGGAACUGGAUUUCUAAAACCAAUUACCUUUGUUCUCAGUUUCUGGGCCAGAUUUUAUACCUUCUGUACAUUGCCACUGUUCCAUUUUCUUCAGUGAAGCCACAACGAUUCAUACCAGUGGAGGAUACCAGAUGGAUUUCAAUAAAUACCUCAAUAUGUAGUUAUUUCAAAGUCAGAACUGCCUACCUACUUUUAUUAGUUUUAAUAUUUUUGCUGCUUAAAUACACUCCAAUUUUCAACCUUCAACAUUUGAAAGCAUUCAUAGCCUUAUUUCUAAAAAUGUGUAUGACAAUACAUCAUAGUUGAAAAAGAGCCCUGAAAACAUCUGAGUUUAAUAACAUUUCAGCACUUGAUUAAAACAUAAGGUAAGUUAAAAUGAGAAAAACCUGUCUUUCAGUAAUUCAUCUCACUACACCAUUCUUAAUUCUUUUUCUCCACUUACAAUUGAGUUAGCAUAAUAUGCCAGAAAAUACUACUCCUAGUUUCAAUAUUGAAAUUAUAUUGCUAGCCAGACAUACACCAGAAAAAAGGUAGCAGUAUUCAGAGGUGUUACUACUGGCCAUUGGUCACAUUCCUGAAGUAUUUUAACAUUCCAAGAAAUACUACUGGUUCUAGCAGAAACAGCUCUUAACUUUUUGUGUUCUAGAUGUAGCAAAAGUACCAAGAGAUGAUGAACAACUGACCCAAAGAGAAACUGUUAAAAAAAAAAAAAAAAGAUGUUUUGUGUAAAAAAAAAAUGAAGGGAACAACAAAGAAAAAAACAAAACCAAAAGUAGAACAAGCAAGAAACCCCAACGCAAACAAAAACACAGGUCUGAAUCCUCCACUGGGAUAAAUCUGUGGGACAGUCGUGUCCCUAGCACUAAGCUAGGUUAAGUCAGUAGAGGACGUGACUUGCUUCUGAGGAAAAAAGCUUACAGUGUGCAACCUUCACAGAUACCCACAAACACUGUCGUUGACCAUUCACAUUUCUUUCACCAAGGUGUAUAAAACUGAAGGGGAAGGGAGGAAGGCAGAAGGCUGGGAUUUCUCUUUAGUAUGCUUUUCCAGAAGUUAUUGAAGUUAGAAAGCAAUAAAUGCUGCAAAAUAGAAAGGCUCAAAGGAUUUCAAUUUGGCAAAUGAACAAAAAACUGUGGUUGGAGAUCAAAUUUGUUUCAUUUGUCUUUGGCAAUAAAAAUAAAUCUUUGCAGUACUGCAGCCAAAGUAUCAUGCGACAAGGCAUUUAUACCACAGCUUUUUACUAGCAUGAAAAUCGAAGGAAAUUUGAGUAUAAAUUACAGGUAACAAGAUAAAGGGAAGGUAAUCAAACUCUCUAAACAACACUUUAAUUGGAAUAGAGAAAAUACAGUAGAUGUAUUUCUUUAAUAUGAAUAAUAGAAGUGAGUAACUUCAAAAGGCCACUAUUUGGUAACGUGGACAGAUUCAAUAUCUAUGUAAAAUCCUGUAAAAGUGUAUUGGUAUUAGAAAUCGUCUACUUGCAAAAAUAUAUUUAAAAACUGAAGCUGUUUUGAACAGUAUAGGCCAAUACUGCAGGAUUGCUCAGGUUGUCUGGUCCAGGGCUCUGAGCAGUUCGCUGCCCUGCAGAAGCGUGGAACUGCCCAAAACAGGGACGUUUACCUCACAGUCAUAUCUUGUCAACUCAGGCAGCAAAUAUGGUUCAUAGGAAGACCCCAGCAGACGACUCGUCACACCUGAAACAGUAAAUCAGGAUGCUGAGAUUGGAGGGAGAGAAUGAGGGCAAGAGAAUGUUUCCUCCUCUUCUGUUUAUACCAGUUACUACUAUGUAUUGUACUUAUGCCAGCACACCUCAGACUACCAACAGUUAACAUUUUCAGAGCAAAUACAAAGCAUCUCUGCUUUAUGGGAUUACAAGCACAAAGUUUUCCACUUCCACUCUAAAUUCAGAUUGUUCAGAGGAAAAUGACACCAGUGAAAAUGAAGAAGGCUAUAGUAACAUAGCUCAUAAAAUGACAGCCUUGCUCUAUCUCCAUACAUCUCCUUUCAUUGCAGAUAUUAAUUUUUAGAAGGCAGAUGUUGGUCUGUAAUCCACAAACAUGAGCUACCACUGCUGCACUGAAGUUGCUUAGUACAGUUUAAUCACCUUUGUCACAAGACAAGAACAUGCAGGAAGAUGACUAGACUACUAAGAAACAACAUUUACUCAUUAGUCAUCACGGCAAGAUAUUAAAAAAACAGGCAGUUGCUUAUAUCCCUUAUCCGGUCUACAGAAGCUCCCAGUUUCUGAAGCUCUGCUUCUUUCUUUUCUGCACUGCCACAGUGACACCUCCAAGAGUUAGGAGCUGAAGGCAUCAGCAACACAAAUAAAGUGAAAGGAGCCUUAGCACAAUAUUUGUUUUAAGUGGCUGAAGAAAUGACAUCACUUUUAAAAAGGACCUUCCAUUCAGAGAAGACCAUGCACAUUCCUACCAAGCUGCUAUCAACUAGCAUCAACAACUUCUUUUAG
This is a non-coding RNA of Coturnix japonica (Japanese quail), 4082 nucleotides long. The record is from RefSeq and is a predicted model, not a curated record. NCBI's taxonomy places the organism in Eukaryota, Metazoa, Chordata, Aves, Galliformes, Phasianidae.